AACAAUUGAUUGAAGGGAAGAGUAAAUAUUGAUUAGUAUCCUAAGCGAGUAGAGGAUGGUGAGAGCUCUAUGAGAAGUUUAAUAUUGAAAGACAUCCUGGACAUAUUUAUCUGAAAAUUAAAAAGUAGGAUAAAUCGGGUUACUCCGUUAAAUAGUAGUAGAGAUAACUUAGUUAAUUAUUACUUAGUUAAAUUAGGAUGGUACCGUGAAUAUUACUUUCACUCCUAUA
RNAcentral lists this non-coding RNA (229 nucleotides) under Clostridium cavendishii. RNAcentral's name for it is "T-box sequence". It matches the Rfam family "T-box leader". From Rfam's summary of the family: Uncharged tRNA acts as the effector for transcription antitermination of genes in the T-box leader family. T-boxes are found upstream of many aminoacyl-tRNA synthetase genes and some amino acid biosynthetic genes usually in Gram-positive bacteria. The anticodon of a specific tRNA base pairs to a specifier sequence within the T-box motif, and the NCCA acceptor tail of the tRNA base pairs to a conserved bulge in the T-box antiterminator hairpin. Lineage: Bacteria; Bacillati; Bacillota; Clostridia; Eubacteriales; Clostridiaceae. The record is from RNAcentral.